CUACGGGUUGCAGCAGUGAGGAAUAUUGCACAAUGGGGGGAACCCUGAUGCAGCAACGCCGCGUGGAGGAUGACGCAUUUCGGUGUGUAAACUCCUUUUAUAUGUCAAGAAAAUGACGGUAGCAUAUGAAUAAGCGCCGGCUAACUCCGUGCCAGCAGCCGCGGUAAUACGGAGGGCGCAAGCGUUACUCGGAAUCACUGGGCGUAAAGGACGCGUAGGCGGGUUGAAAAGUCAGGUGUGAAAGCCUACAGCUUAACUGUAGAACUGCACUUGAAACUCUCAACCUAGAGUAUGGGAGGGGCAGAUGGAAUUAGUGGUGUAGGGGUAAAAUCCGUAGAUAUCACUAGGAAUACCUAAAGCGAAGGCGAUCUGCUGGAACAUUACUGACGCUAAGGCGUGAAAGCGUGGGGAGCAAACAGGAUUAGAUACCCUAGUAGUC
RNAcentral lists this ribosomal RNA (439 nucleotides) under uncultured bacterium. Its description in RNAcentral is "partial 16S ribosomal RNA". It matches the Rfam family "Bacterial small subunit ribosomal RNA", at positions 339 to 795 of the family's 1533-position model. The record is from RNAcentral.